Non-coding RNA from Pelodiscus sinensis (Chinese soft-shelled turtle), 1299 nucleotides. The record is from RefSeq and is a predicted model, not a curated record. Lineage: Eukaryota; Metazoa; Chordata; Testudines; Trionychidae.
GCAGUGCAGGACUAAGCAUGCUCAGUGCAAAAGCUUGUCUCCUUUGCCUGUCAAGCCCUAUGUUUGAACUCGUUCCAGAAUACUGGAUUUACUUUUCACAAGGAAAGAAUACCUGACUGGACUGCAUUUUUCCUUCUUUCUUCUGUGUAGUAACCAGAAGAUUGGAAACAGUAUUCUUUUAUGAUCAAUUCAGUCUCAGUAAUACAAUGUUGUUGAAUGCAAAUAUCACCAUGGCAAGAGAGAAAGAAGAGGAAACUUUGCUACCUGUAAAGUGAAGACUUCUUCUUAGGUCGCAGGGGAGAUAAGGCCAUUACAUUUAUAGUAUUGUCCACAGACUUCAUAAAUGUCGCAUUGGAAUAUAGAGCCAAAUUUUCAGCUGCAAUAAACUAAUACAGCUACAUUGAAGUCAAGGAAACUUCAGGUUUAUACCAGCCGAGGGUGUCCCUGAUAGUUUUGCCCCCAUCAACAAUAAAAAGAUCCCUGUCUACUAGGAAUUGAGCCCAUGAUACCAACUGUUUUCAUGCAGGCCACUGAACAGCCAUUGGAUGUCAAAAUUUCUCCCAUCUGUGAAUUUCACACCAUACGUUUAAAGAAACUGCUGGGUCUGGUGAAGGCACGUGAGUUGAAUGCUAGAAUGUACACCACAUUCCCCACAGCGAGCUUUCCACUCCCAGAGAAAGUUUGUGCAAGUCCUAAAAUAAUUUCAUCCCACCGGCCCACAAAUAUUCCCAUUUGAUGGAGAAAUUGAGGCACCAGAGAGGUAAUGACUUGCCUGCGGCCACACGAGUGAGUCAGCUUGGAUUAGACCAAAGGAGCUUCUGGCUUCUAUCCGUAUGUUCAUUUCUCCAGAGCAAGCAACGUCAGAUAGCAAAGUUCUUUCUACUUUUAAUAACUGGUUCUAAAAACUGACGUGUGUGUAUCUACAUCUACAUCUACAUCUACAUCUGUAUCUAUCAAUUGCUUUACCCAUUUCUGAAAUGCAGCUACUUCAGGGGUGGGAAACAGCUGUUGUUUAAUGGUGCGUAGCAAUACUUUGCAAUGUUUUAGGACAAGGUUGGAAAACUAUUGCAUUCAAUAAUUUGGUUAUGCAAUUACCCAAGUUUGAACUUGACCAACACAUCUAAAUUAGUACCACAUACUCUUACAAAGAUGGUCAUAGCAGCUUUAAUGAUCACAAGGGACGGAAGUUUUAUCCAGGAGUAUGUCUAGACCAGUGGUCUCCAACCUUUUUACACCGAAGAUCACUUUUUAAAUCUCAGAACAGGCGAAGAUCUACCGCCCCGCCCCUUCCUUGAAGUC